UACAGAGGGGGCAAGCGUUGUUCGGAAUUAUUGGGCGUAAAGCGCGUGUAGGCGGCUUUGCAAGUCGGGUGUGAAAGCCCUCAGCUUAACUGAGGAAGUGCGCCCGAAACUGCAGAGCUUGAGUACCGGAGAGGGUGGCGGAAUUCCCCAAGUAGAGGUGAAAUUCGUAGAUAUGGGGAGGAACACCGGUGGCGAAGGCGGCCGCCUGGACGGAUACUGACGCUGAGACGCGAAAGCGUGGGGAGCAAACAGG
This 253-nucleotide ribosomal RNA is filed under the name uncultured bacterium. RNAcentral describes it as "partial 16S ribosomal RNA". It matches the Rfam family "Bacterial small subunit ribosomal RNA", at positions 524 to 776 of the family's 1533-position model. The record is from RNAcentral.